GUAAAAUCGGCGGGCACACUGCGUCUCUACAUUAAUCGCAGCCAACUUCAUUUGCUUCACUUUUACAUAAAACGUGGAGGAAGCAUCACAUCUUACCAAAAACACAAAUUAAUUAAAAUGUGAUCCAGUAAAUAUUUAGUGCUGCGUUAAUACGUUGGCACAUGUGAAUUGAAACAAAAAGGAGUAAAUAUCACCAACCACGUGGUUUUCGGACAAAAGAUCAAACUGGUCUGUUGUCCAGACUUUGGGUAUGACGCUCAGUCAGCAUGGAGGUCUAUUGAUCCGCAAAUUAAAAUGCGAGGAAUAAUCGGUUGAUUUGAUCAUCCAAUUCCAAAAUUGGUCCAAAAACCCAUUUCAAAAGUUCAGUAUAAAUGGAUUUAAAUAUUUGAUGAGCCAUUUUGUACCACUUCAUUAAAAAGGCUUUUAAUGGUACGUGAAAACUCGAUGAAGCAGAAUAAUUCUUAAAAGAAUUGUGAAAUAAGGGUCUGGAAUCUUCGCAGAAAACUAUUUGUUAACCCCAUACAUUGAAUAAAAAUCACAAUUUUAAAUGCUAAAAA
Long non-coding RNA from Drosophila rhopaloa, 557 nucleotides. RefSeq lists it as uncharacterized. The record is from RefSeq and is a predicted model, not a curated record. The transcript has 8 exons. Lineage: Eukaryota; Metazoa; Arthropoda; Insecta; Diptera; Drosophilidae.